Molecule: ribosomal RNA, 254 nt
Filed under: uncultured bacterium
Lineage: Bacteria
Description: partial 16S ribosomal RNA
Rfam family: Bacterial small subunit ribosomal RNA
Source: RNAcentral
UACGGGGGGAGCAAGCGUUGUUCGGAUUUACUGGGCGUAAAGGGCGCGUAGGCGGUCGUGACAAGUCACUUGUGAAAUCUCCGGGCUUAACUCGGAACGGUCAAGUGAUACUGUCGGACUAGAGUACAGAAGAGGCAACUGGAAUUCUCGGUGUAGCGGUGAAAUGCGUAGAUAUCGAGAGGAACACCUGCGGCGAAGGCGGGUUGCUGGGCUGAUACUGACGCUGAGGCGCGAAAGCCAGGGGAGCGAACGGG